RNAcentral lists this ribosomal RNA (272 nucleotides) under uncultured bacterium. RNAcentral describes it as "partial 16S ribosomal RNA". It matches the Rfam family "Bacterial small subunit ribosomal RNA", at positions 215 to 504 of the family's 1533-position model. The record is from RNAcentral.
CCGCUGAAAGAUGGGCUCGCGUCUGAUUAGAUAGUUGGUGAGGUAACGGCUCACCAAGUCGACGAUCAGUAGCCGGACUGAGAGGUUGAACGGCCACAUUGGGACUGAGAUACGGCCCAGACUCCUACGGGAGGCAGCAGUGGGGAAUAUUGCACAAUGGGGGAAACCCUGAUGCAGCAACGCCGCGUGAAGGAAGACGGUUUUCGGAUUGUAAACUCCUGUUGUUGGGGAAAAAGAGGAUGGUACCCAACAAGGAAGUGACGGCUAACUAC